This 649-nucleotide ribosomal RNA is filed under the name Alkalicoccobacillus gibsonii. RNAcentral describes it as "bacterial SSU rRNA". It matches the Rfam family "Bacterial small subunit ribosomal RNA", at positions 64 to 692 of the family's 1533-position model. Lineage: Bacteria; Bacillati; Bacillota; Bacilli; Caryophanales; Bacillaceae. The record is from RNAcentral.
GAGCGGACGUUUUUGAAGCUUGCUUUAAAAACGUUAGCGGCGGACGGGUGAGUAACACGUGGGCAACCUACCUUAUCGACUGGGAUAACUCCGGGAAACCGGGGCUAAUACCGGAUAACAUCUAGCACCUCCUGGUGCCGGAUUAAAAGAGGGCUUCUUGCUCUCACGAUGAGAUGGGCCCGCGGCGCAUUAGCUAGUUGGAGAGGUAACGGCUCCCCAAGGCGACGAUGCGUAGCCGACCUGAGAGGGUGAUCGGCCACACUGGGACUGAGACACGGCCCAGACUCCUACGGGAGGCAGCAGUAGGGAAUCUUCCGCAAUGGACGAAAGUCUGACGGAGCAACGCCGCGUGAGUGAUGAAGGGUUUCGGCUCGUAAAGCUCUGUUAUGAGGGAAGAACACGUACCGUUCGAAUAGGGCGGUACCUUGACGGUACCUCAUCAGAAAGCCACGGCUAACUACGUGCCAGCAGCCGCGGUAAUACGUAGGUGGCAAGCGUUGUCCGGAAUUAUUGGGCGUAAAGCGCGCGCAGGCGGCCUUUUAAGUCUGAUGUGAAAUCUUGCGGCUCAACCGCAAGCGGCCAUUGGAAACUGGGAGGCUUGAGUACAGAAGAGGAGAGUGGAAUUCCACGUGUAGCGGUGAAAUGCGUA